AUGGGGAAGAAGGGGGUUGUCCUGGCGGCACUGCUGCUGGUGAUGGUCAGCAUGGUGGUCGUGAUGACUGCCGACGGCCAGGGCGUCGGUGGCGAGGUCCGCAAAGCGGCCGAAGGAGUCGGGACGGGCGUGGACACCGCUGCUCGGGGCGCGGGAGCAGCCGUGAAGUCGGCGGCUGAGGGCGUCGGCGAGGUCGUUAGCGGUAGCUGCGUCGGUGACCAGUUCGGGUCGGCGGCCCAAGGAGCCGGCAAAGGAGCAGAGUCGGGCGCGGGCGGCGGUGCUGAAAAAGCGGGGUCCGGCGCGAGCCAGGGAGCUAAGGGCGCCGGCGAAGGUGCUGAUAAAUCUUACUCCGGCGGCGGCGGCGGUUCGUUGAGCCUGCCGUGUACCGGGGGAUCAUCGCCGCCGUGA
RNAcentral lists this ribosomal RNA (408 nucleotides) under Triticum aestivum (bread wheat). RNAcentral describes it as "partial small subunit ribosomal RNA". Lineage: Eukaryota; Viridiplantae; Streptophyta; Magnoliopsida; Poales; Poaceae. The record is from RNAcentral.